UGGGGAAUAUUGCACAAUGGAGGGAACUCUGAUGCAGCGACGCCGCGUGAGUGAUGAAGGAAUUCGUUUCGUAAAACUCUGUUCUAUGGGAAGAAAAGGACUGUACCAUAGGAGAAAGCUCCGGCUAAAUACGUGCCAGCAGCCGCGGUAAUACGUAUGGAGCGAGCGUUGUCCGGAAUUAUUGGGCGUAAAGGGUGCGCAGGCGGCUUUACAAGUUGGAUGUGAAAUAUUGUGGCUCAACCACAAACGUGCAUCCAAAACUGCAAAGCUUGAGUUAAGGAGAGGUAAGUGGAAUUCCUGGUGUAGCGGUGGAAUGCUUAGAUAUCAGGAGGAAUACCGGUGGCGAAGGCGACUUACUGGACUUAAACUGACGCUCAGGCACGAACGCGUGGGGAGCAAACAGG
This 404-nucleotide ribosomal RNA is filed under the name Fusobacteriota bacterium. RNAcentral's name for it is "Fusobacteria bacterium partial 16S ribosomal RNA". It matches the Rfam family "Bacterial small subunit ribosomal RNA", at positions 355 to 776 of the family's 1533-position model. The record is from RNAcentral. Lineage: Bacteria; Fusobacteriati; Fusobacteriota.